UACGUAGGGGGCAAGCGUUGUCCGGAUUUAUUGGGCGUAAAGAGCGUGUAGGCGGUUCGGUAGGUCCGUUGUGAAAACUCGAGGCUCAACCUCGAGACGCCGAUGGAAACCAUCGAACUAGAGUCCGGAAGAGGAGAGUGGAAUUCCUGGUGUAGCGGUGAAAUGCGCAGCUAUCAGGAAGAACACCCGUGGCUAAGGCGGCUCUCUAGUACGGUACUGACGCUGAGACGCGAAAGCGUGGGGAGCGAACAGG
This 253-nucleotide ribosomal RNA is filed under the name uncultured bacterium. Its description in RNAcentral is "partial 16S ribosomal RNA". It matches the Rfam family "Bacterial small subunit ribosomal RNA", at positions 524 to 776 of the family's 1533-position model. The record is from RNAcentral.